GGAAACCACUUGAAACAUUUGUUGUUUUGAGCUAUUUCAAUGACUUUGAUUUGAUUUGUUCAUUGCAAACAACUGAAAGUCUGUACAUUUUGUAAAUUACGAUUUGCAAUGUGGGUUGAAUAAUUUUUAUUACAACUGUGUAUAUAUAUUGACAUGUGUAUACAUAUUAAUGUUUACAUUAUAAAUUAUUUUUAUUUUCAUAUAAUUUACUAUAUGCUUUCACAAGCUUGUGUACAGUAUAUUUGCAGAAACUGUUGUGGGCUUUGUUGCUUAGUUUCACUAUUUUUGUGUGUGUGUUUUUUCAUAUGCUUUUGAGGAGAAGUGUUCUCAUGAUCUUACUGACAGCUUAAACAGUCAAUAUGAGUUUAUCGCUUGAGGAAGCUGCUCGCUCUGAUUACUUGAACUGGUCUGAUUCCAACAGAACGGCUGUCAGAAUUCUUCAUCACAAUAUAUAUUCUCAUCUGAUUUCACUCAUAAUGUCAUAACAGUUCUGUUUAUUUUCUCAUUGUGUAUCUAUGUCAUUUGUUCUGGUUUUCUUUUUUGUAUCAUUAAUAAAUGCAUUUAAUAUCA
Long non-coding RNA from Rhinichthys klamathensis goyatoka, 570 nucleotides. RefSeq lists it as uncharacterized. Lineage: Eukaryota; Metazoa; Chordata; Actinopteri; Cypriniformes; Leuciscidae. The transcript is spliced from 2 exons. The record is from RefSeq and is a predicted model, not a curated record.